UCUGGGAGUGCAUUGUUUGGCUGGUGAUGCGCAUGCUUGGUGGAGGAGGAUGAUGGGUACUCGACGGUUGGUGGCGUUGGAGAUGAAGUUGAGUUCUACGGAAUGCUGUACGGGGCGUAUUUCCGAAACAGUGUGAAGCAGAAACUCGAAGAAGAUUUAAAGAAGCUACAGCAGGGGGUGCGAUUAGUUCAGGAGUACACUCGUG
This 205-nucleotide long non-coding RNA is filed under the name Ananas comosus (pineapple). RNAcentral's name for it is "long non-coding RNA (ACOM_LNC031306)". Lineage: Eukaryota; Viridiplantae; Streptophyta; Magnoliopsida; Poales; Bromeliaceae. The record is from RNAcentral.